AAAUAUAUAUAUAAAAAUAUAUAUAUAUUUUUGUUCAUGCAUUGUAAAGAUCAUGCAUAAAAAUGUGUAUGUAGGGGGGCAGAGCCUGACUGCAGAGGCAAUCUGUCGCACUAACUGGGAGCUCCAAGAUACAAAUAAACAAAAACGGAAAAAUCCCCAAACAACAAAUCCCCAACUCACAGCAAAGACCCUCUGUAUACCCUCUGAAGACAUGGGGCGCAAAACAAAAAAAACAAACAUGGAGAAAACCACCUCCGGGCUCACAAUAGGAGACAUGUGGAGACAGGCCCAUGGUGCAAGCGGGCCCAACAUGGUGGCGCUCCACGGAGGCUGCUCCCACUUCUCCGACGACCUCUCAGGGGAGGAGUACUUGCCAGCACCCAAGUCGGGACGAUCAUCGCAACUGACCACCACCAGCCUGGACUCUGCACCGGUGACCGCAGCGGUCCUCAAGCAACUGCUCGCGGAUCACCACAACAGACAAAGACAUCUCCGCACCACGGGGCGAUCUAAAAAGGUUGACAGCCCACCUGACCACACUUGAAACCACAGCCGAAACAAACACCCGUGACAUAGGUGAACUUCAACGGGCAGUACAUGACUUGCACCUGCAACAUCAGAAUCACGAACACCACAUGGCGGAACUAGAAGACACCAGGAGGCGAAACAACCUUAAGUUUAGAGGGGUCUCUGACACAAUACCCGAGAAAGAACUGCCGCGGGUUAUUAAGCGUAUACUCGCAACAAUACUGCCACCCGCACAAGCCCACAGUAUCAACCCCGACUACCUGUUCAGGAUACCCAAACCACAAAGGGCACCAACCGCGGCCACACGGGACAUUAUAGUCACUUUCCGACACAGAAACGACAAAAAGGCAGAUGCCCUGCGGGGAAAAUAACCCUCCAAUUUGAAAACAUGCCUCUGAGCGUCUUUGCCGACCUCUUGAGCGAUACCCUGGCAUGGCGGAUGUCCCUCUGACCCCUCACUACACUUCUCCAUCGGCACAACCUCCAAUACCACUGUCGACCAUCCCACACACUCACCGUCCAGCAGGGGCCUGACUCUCACAAGAUCCGAGACAUUAAUGACGCAGCACCACUCCUGCAAGCACUAAGUAUAUCACGGGACUCUCUUGUCCAGCCGGGCCAAGAGAAAACAGCCUCCCCAAGGCACAUGUGGGACCUGAACAGAACAGUCCUGUUCGUAAAGCAAGGGUCUAACAACUGAACCCUACGUGGCAGUCACCACCUAAACGAGGUCGGACGGAAACACUGCAUAAUUGCGAUGUGGCACGGACUUGAACGCCACCCAUGCCUCAUACCCACGCAGGGCUUUGGGUAACUCUUUCUUCACGAGAACGGUCAUACACCUCUUUGGCCCCUCGAACUAACCCUUUAGACAGCUGUUUACUUUAAUUUGUUUACAUUUCAUUUAAUGUGUUAUAUAUUUUAUCUCAACUGCUGGGUUUCCUUGUGUUAAGCCCCGGAACGCAGCACAACACAGCUCUCCACAGAGCCUGCUCUGCAUUACAAUUUAUAUCUCACAUAGCCAUAAAGAUCAUUGUAUAUGUCAUAGUUAAUUAACGUUCAACACCUACGCCUAGCCCAAUCGAACAUCCACGAGAGUCUACCGUCCCAACCGGUCACCCAGCCCUAGCUACUAUGCAGCACUGACACUGACAGAUUAAACCAACAGGUCACCACAUAUAGGCCUAGACACCAGCGCAGGAGGAUGAUAGACGGUGCGCUGGAGCUGGUUACACAUAAUCAACACAUAAACUCUAGCGGUAAACUGUGUUAUCACGGCAUGGGAUCACUCAGCAGAACAAUGUGCUCACAAACCUCACACAUGUCUAUCAAUCACCCUUUUUAUCGCCAUAAUUAUUGGAGCUUUUUCAGCACAGUUCCCUAUAGGCCUCACAUGGGGGGGAUACAGAGACUAUACUCACAGGCUUCUCUAACGAAGGACACGGCACACACGAGCCACUCACCCAUGUACACUAGUCAGGAGCACACUCCCAUCCACUGACGGGCUCCAUCCCUCUCGCUAGAGAUAACUAUCACCGUGCCAACGGGGGCAUCGGCCUUAUGCUACAAUGGGUUCUGUUUUUACCAUUUACAUUGUUUAUAUGGUUUUCUCUGAUGGCAUGCAAUUCUAUUCUCACACAUUACACCCCUCUGGGGCAAACUAUUUAACCUGCAGCCUGAUAUAACUGCAAUCUUACAAAUGGCUUAACACCCAAAUAUACAAUGUUCACAGGACACUCAUUGGCCACAACCUCUGCUCAGCAUAUCAUCCAGCGCAACAGUGCUCACACAAUGGAUCUGCCCACAGAGCACACAGACACAUUCUCAGCUGUUCAUUUAUACAGCAUCCUUAUUAAUAC
RNAcentral lists this long non-coding RNA (2387 nucleotides) under Pelobates cultripes (western spadefoot toad). Lineage: Eukaryota; Metazoa; Chordata; Amphibia; Anura; Pelobatidae. The record is from RNAcentral.